GGGAGACGGAGACACAGAAAAAGAGAGAGAGUGAGAGAGAGAGAGAGAGAGAGAGAGAGAGAGAGAGAGAGAGAGACGUGGCUCCUAAUCCUUCUUUAUUGAAAGCACACAAAGUCCAGGCUUGGCAUUUCUCAGCGAGAUGUUCUAGCCCACGCCAGAGCCACGCUGGAUGGAAAACUCAUUGGUCCUUUAAGAGCAGCUAUCUGAAAAGUGGAGAUCGUUCCAUGGGUCCGAAGGGGGUCCAUUCCACCCACGCGCUCCGUCCGUUCCCAGCCAGUCCACACACGCGUUGAAACGACUCCGGAAGUGGCAAACCGUACAAAAAACGCAACCCCACGAAUCACUCAGAGGAGGAUAAUGAAGACAAUGAUCAACGCAGCAGGGCGGCUUCAGGCGUGAAUCCAAAAUUGAAACAUCCAUCUGGAAUGUCAACGAGGAGUUCGUAUCACCUGCCCAGAUGGAACUCGUCUCCAGCGUGGGCCCCAAGGAGGGAAUCAAGGAUCACAACAUGACCGCGUUCAACAUGAUGAGGUGACUUGUACAGCAGCACCGCAUUCAGAUACCCUGGAUCUGUACCUUAUGGACACAGUUGACAAAUUCAAAGUCAUUUUUACCACAGUCAGUAAAAACAGUGUAACACAGACCUCCUUCAAUUUAUUUGCUGGUUAGUUUCUUUGAAAAUCUCAAGUAAACCUGUAAGGAAAAUACUCUGUAAGGCUUUAAUUGUUAACAACAGCACUCAAACAUCAACCGAAACAUUAAAAACAAAGUCACUGGGAAGAAAAUGUGUCGUCUUCUCAAGCCCUCAUUCAGGAUGGUUACUGAUCGCUUCAGCGCUGAAGUCUGUCUACUGUUCAUCACCUUUUGGCCUCUUUUGACUUUAUUAUUUCCCACACCAUCAGCAAGGCCUUAAUAAUACAGAACUCCUCCAACUUAUAGAUUUUUUGCAAGACUCUGUAAAAGUCUUGGGUACAGUUUGGUAACUUUGAGCUGCAUCACACUGAAACUGAAUUGUAAAUCGCGGACAAUAAAAAUAUAAAAAGACGUUGCCGCA
This 1054-nucleotide long non-coding RNA is filed under the name Scleropages formosus (Asian bonytongue). Its description in RNAcentral is "lncRNA (ENSSFOG00015028814.1)". Lineage: Eukaryota; Metazoa; Chordata; Actinopteri; Osteoglossiformes; Osteoglossidae. The record is from RNAcentral.